AACGAACGCUGGCGGCAGGCCUAACACAUGCAAGUCGAACGCCCCGCAAGGGGAGUGGCAGACGGGUGAGUAACGCGUGGGAACGUACCCUUCGGUUCGGGAUAACUCAGGGAAACUUGAGCUAAUACCGGAUACGUCCGAGAGGAGAAAGAUUUAUCGCCGAGGGAUCGGCCCGCGUCUGAUUAGCUUGUUGGUGAGGUAACGGCUCACCAAGGCGACGAUCAGUAGCUGGUCUGAGAGGAUGAUCAGCCACAUUGGGACUGAGACACGGCCCAAACUCCUACGGGAGGCAGCAGUGGGGAAUAUUGGACAAUGGGCGGCAAGCCUGAUCCAGCCAUGCCGCGUGAGUGAUGAAGGCCCUAGGGUUGUAAAGCUCUUUUACCC
This 384-nucleotide ribosomal RNA is filed under the name uncultured bacterium. RNAcentral's name for it is "bacterial SSU rRNA". It matches the Rfam family "Bacterial small subunit ribosomal RNA", at positions 29 to 441 of the family's 1533-position model. The record is from RNAcentral.